RNAcentral lists this small RNA (82 nucleotides) under Arabidopsis thaliana (thale cress). RNAcentral's name for it is "ATSL272900". Lineage: Eukaryota; Viridiplantae; Streptophyta; Magnoliopsida; Brassicales; Brassicaceae. The record is from RNAcentral.
UUCUUAAAUCCAACUAAAUGUCUAAUACUAUAACAAAUAUAGUAGGAGAUCACCAAUGAUGGAAAUAAGCUUUUAAAACAUC